Molecule: ribosomal RNA, 445 nt
Filed under: uncultured bacterium
Lineage: Bacteria
Description: bacterial SSU rRNA
Rfam family: Bacterial small subunit ribosomal RNA
Source: RNAcentral
GCCCAGACUCCUACGGGAGGCAGCAGUGGGGAAUAUUGCACAAUGGGGGAAACCCUGAUGCAGCGACGCCGCGUGAGUGAAGAAGUAUUUCGGUAUGUAAAGCUCUAUCAGCAGGAAAGAAAAUGACGGUACCUGACUAAGAAGCCCCGGCUAACUACGUGCCAGCAGCCGCGGUAAUACGUAGGGGCAAGCGUUAUCCGGAUUUACUGGGUGUAAAGGGAGCGCAGGCGGCGCGGCAAGUCUGAUGUGAAAGCCCGGGGCUCAACCCCGGGUCUGCAUUGGAAACUGUCGAGCUAGAGUGUCGGAGGGGUAAGCGGAAUUCCUAGUGUAGCGGUGAAAUGCGUAGAUAUUAGGAGGAACACCAGUGGCGAAGGCGGCUUACUGGACGAUGACUGACGCUGAGGCUCGAAAGCGUGGGGAGCAAACAGGAUUAGAUACCCCUGUA